This 588-nucleotide ribosomal RNA is filed under the name uncultured bacterium. RNAcentral describes it as "bacterial SSU rRNA". It matches the Rfam family "Bacterial small subunit ribosomal RNA", at positions 102 to 677 of the family's 1533-position model. The record is from RNAcentral.
ACGGGUGAGUAACACGUAGGUAACCUGCCUUUAAGACUGGGAUACCUAUCGGAAACGAUAGCUAAGACCGGAUAACUGGUUUUCUCGCAUGAGAGAAUCAUGAAACACGGAGCAAUCUGUGGCUUGAAGAUGGGCCUGCGGCGCAUUAGCUAGUUGGUGAGGUAACGGCUCACCAAGGCGACGAUGCGUAGCCGACCUGAGAGGGUGAACGGCCACACUGGGACUGAGACACGGCCCAGACUCCUACGGGAGGCAGCAGUAGGGAAUCUUCCGCAAUGGACGCAAGUCUGACGGAGCAACGCCGCGUGAGUGAUGAAGGUUUUCGGAUCGUAAAGCUCUGUUGCCCUAGACGAACAGCAAGGAGAGUAACUGCUCUUUGUGUGACGGUAUAGGAGAAGAAAGCCCCGGCUAACUACGUGCCAGCAGCCGCGGUAAUGCGUAGGGGGCAAGCGUUGUCCGGAAUUAUUGGGCGUAAAGCGCGCGCAGGCGGUCAUCUAAGUCUGGUGUUUAAUCCUGGGGCUCAACCCCAGUUCGCAUCGGAAACUGGAUGACUUGAGUGUAGGAGAGGAAAGUGGAAUUCCACGUGUA